Molecule: ribosomal RNA, 805 nt
Filed under: uncultured bacterium
Lineage: Bacteria
Description: bacterial SSU rRNA
Rfam family: Bacterial small subunit ribosomal RNA
Source: RNAcentral
AGAGUUUGAUCCUGGCUCAGGAUGAAUUCUGGCGGCGUGCUUAACACAUGCAAGUCGAACGAAGCACUUUAUUUGAUUUCUUCGGAAUGAAGAUUUUGUGACUGAGUGGCGGACGGGUGAGUAACGCGUGGGUAACCUGCCUCAUACAGGGGGAUAACAGUUGGAAACGACUGCUAAUACCGCAUAAGCGCACAGGGUCGCAUGACCUGGUGUGAAAAACUCCGGUGGUAUGAGAUGGACCCGCGUCUGAUUAGCCAGUUGGUGGGGUAACGGCCUACCAAAGCGACGAUCAGUAGCCGACCUGAGAGGGUGACCGGCCACAUUGGGACUGAGACACGGCCCAAACUCCUACGGGAGGCAGCAGUGGGGAAUAUUGCACAAUGGGGGAAACCCUGAUGCAGCGACGCCGCGUGAGCGAAGAAGUAUUUCGGUAUGUAAAGCUCUAUCAGCAGGGAAGAAGAAAUGACGGUACCUGACUAAGAAGCACCGGCUAAAUACGUGCCAGCAGCCGCGGUAAUACGUAUGGUGCAAGCGUUAUCCGGAUUUACUGGGUGUAAAGGGAGCGCAGGCGGUACGGCAAGUCUGAUGUGAAAGCCCGGGGCUCAACCCCGGUACUGCAUUGGAAACUGUCGGACUAGAGUGUCGGAGGGGUAAGUGGAAUUCCUAGUGUAGCGGUGAAAUGCGUAGAUAUUAGGAGGAACACCAGUGGCGAAGGCGGCUUACUGGACGAUUACUGACGCUGAGGCUCGAAAGCGUGGGGAGCAAACAGGAUUAGAUACCCUGGUAGUCCACGCCGUAAACGAUG